This 285-nucleotide ribosomal RNA is filed under the name uncultured bacterium. RNAcentral describes it as "partial 16S ribosomal RNA". It matches the Rfam family "Bacterial small subunit ribosomal RNA", at positions 28 to 334 of the family's 1533-position model. The record is from RNAcentral.
GAUGAACGCUGGCGGCGUGGAUAAGGCAUGCAAGUCAAACGGUCCAUGUACUUGUAUAUGGACAGUGGCAAACGGGGUAGUAACAGGUAGGAACAUACCCAUGAGUCGUGAAUAAUUGCGAGAAAUCGUAACUAAUACACGAUAUCCCUACGGGGGAAAGAUUUAUCGCUCAUGGAAUGGCCUGCUUCGUAUCAGCUAGUUGGUGGGGUAAAGGCCCACCAAGGCUACGACGCGUAGGGGAGGUGAGAGCCUGACCCCCACCAUUGGAACUGCGACACGGUCCAA